Molecule: ribosomal RNA, 453 nt
Filed under: Engaeus lyelli
Lineage: Eukaryota; Metazoa; Arthropoda; Malacostraca; Decapoda; Parastacidae
Description: partial 16S large subunit ribosomal RNA
Rfam family: Bacterial large subunit ribosomal RNA
Source: RNAcentral
CGCGGUAUUUUGACCGUGCGAAGGUAGCAUAAUCAUUAGUCUUUUAAUUGAAGGCUUGGAUGAAGGGUUGGACGAGAAAUUAGCUGUCUUUAUCAUGGGGGUAAAAUUUAACUUUUAAGUGAGAGGGCUUAAAUAAACUAAAGGGACGAUAAGACCCUAUAAAGUUUGACAUUAACUGUAGUAAGAGGGGCUAGGUGAGUUAAGAAAAGUUAAUUAAUGUGGAAAAUGUUUUGUUGGGGCGACAAAGAUAUAAGAAAUUUAACUGUCUUUAGGUUAAGCCAAAGAUGUUUGUAAGAGAGAUCCUUAUUAAAGGUGCUAGAAUAAAUUACUUUAGGGAUAACAGCGUGAUUUUCUCUGAGAGUUCUUAUCGACGAGAGAGUUUGCGACCUCGAUGUUGAAUUAAAGAGUCUUUAUGGCGUAGCGGCUAUGAAAGAGGGUCUGUUCGACCUUUAA